This 76-nucleotide transfer RNA is filed under the name Collybiopsis luxurians FD-317 M1. Its description in RNAcentral is "Gymnopus luxurians FD-317 M1 tRNA". It matches the Rfam family "tRNA". Rfam says of the family: Transfer RNA (tRNA) molecules are approximately 80 nucleotides in length. Their secondary structure includes four short double-helical elements and three loops (D, anti-codon, and T loops). Further hydrogen bonds mediate the characteristic L-shaped molecular structure. tRNAs have two regions of fundamental functional importance: the anti-codon, which is responsible for specific mRNA codon recognition, and the 3' end, to which the tRNAs corresponding amino acid is attached (by aminoacyl-tRNA synthetases). tRNAs cope with the degeneracy of the genetic code in two manners: having more than one tRNA (with a specific anti-codon) for a particular amino acid; and 'wobble' base-pairing, i.e. permitting non-standard base-pairing at the 3rd anti-codon position. Lineage: Eukaryota; Fungi; Basidiomycota; Agaricomycetes; Agaricales; Omphalotaceae. The record is from Rfam by way of RNAcentral.
GGUCAAGUAGCUCAGUUGGUUAGAGCACUGUCCCCAGAAAGUGGCUGGGACCUGGGUUCAAUUCCCAGCUUGGUCA